UUACUGUAUGGAGCGAGGUUAAGCAGGAUAUGCGGAGCCGAAGCGAAAGCGAGUCUUAAGAGGGCGAGAGUUGCAUGCAGUAGACCCGAAACCGGGUGAUCUAGCCAUGACCAGGUUGAAGUUGGGGUAAAACCCGAUGGAGGACCGAACCGACCCCCGUUGAAACGUUGGCGGAUGAGUUGUGGCUAGGGGUGAAAUUCCAAUCGAACCCGGAGAUAGCUGGUUCUCCCCGAAAUAGCUUUAGGGCUAGCGUCGAGGUAAGUUGCGUGAAGGUAGAGCACUGAAUAUGUGAUGGCCCCAUCUCGGGGUACUGAGCAUAAUCAAACUGCGAAUGUCACGAUAACAUGCUCGGCAGUCAGACAGCGGGUGAUAAGGUCCGUUGUCAAGAGGGAAACAGCCCAGACCAUCAGCUAAGGUCCCAAAAUGUAUGCUAAGUGGAAAAGGAUGUGGAGAUGUACAGACAACUAGGAGGUUGGCUCAGAAGCAGCCAUCCUUUAAAGAGUGCGUAACAGCUCACUAGUCGAAUGACUCUGCGCCGAUAAUUUACCGGGGCUAAGCAUACUACCGAAGCUAUGGAUCCCAAGGGAUGGUAGGGGAGCGUUCCAUGAACGGAGAAGUACGACCGAAAGGACGUGUGGAGAUCAUGGAAGAGAGAAUGCCGGUGUGAGUAGCGGAACGUGGGUGAGAAUCCCACGCACCGAAAACCCAAGGUUUCCAGAGGAAGGUUCGUCCGCUCUGGGUAAGUCGGGACCUAAGGCGAGGCCGAAAGGCGUAGUCGAUGGACAACAGGUAGAGAUUCCUGUACCCGUAUAUAUGUGAAGGAAUGACGGAGAGAGGAAGCUGCAGCCAGCGGCUGGAAGAGCUGGUGCAAGCGAGAUAUCGGGAUGGCAGGCAAAUCCACCAUCCGAAACGAGAAGGCGUGAAGCGUACGGAAAGCUACGGCGAGUACGGAAGGCAGUGGAGGAACUUCCAAGAAAAGUUUCUAACGUUAAGUAUAUAUGGCCCGUACCGAAAAUGGACACACAUGGGUGAGGAGAGAAUCCUAAGGUGAGCGAGAGAACUAUAGCUAAGGAACUCUGCAAAAUGACUCCGUAACUUAGGGAGAAGGAGUGCUCAUAGAGAUAUGAGCCGCAGUGAAACGGCCCAAGCGACUGUUUACCAAAAACACAGCUCUCUGCUAAGCCGCAAGGCGAAGUAUAGGGGGUGACGCCUGCCCGGUGCUGGAAGGUUAAGGGGAGGGGUUAACGCAAGUGAAGCCCUGAACUGAAGCCCCAGUAAACGGCGGCCGUAACUAUAACGGUCCUAAGGUAGCGAAAUUCCUUGUCAGGUAAGUUCUGACCCGCACGAAAGGCGUAACGAUUUGGGCGCUGUCUCAGCUGUAGACUCGGUGAAGUCUUAGUACCUGUGAAGAUGCAGGUUACCCGCGACUAGACGGAAAGACCCCAUGGAGCUUCACUGCAGGUUGAUAUUGGGAUUUGAUGCAGCAUGUACAGGAUAGGUAGGAGGCAAAGAGAUGGAUACGCCAGUAUUCAAGGAGCCGCUGUUGGGAUACUACCCCUGUUGUAUUGGAUUUCUAACCGGACGACGUAGAGCCGUUGACGGGACAGUGUCAGUCGGGCAGUUUGACUGGGGCGGUCGCCUCCCAAAGAGUAACGGAGGCGCCCAAAGAUACCCUCAGCUUGGAUGGAAACCAAGCGCAGAG
This 1702-nucleotide ribosomal RNA is filed under the name human gut metagenome. Its description in RNAcentral is "bacterial LSU rRNA". It matches the Rfam family "Bacterial large subunit ribosomal RNA", at positions 628 to 2349 of the family's 2925-position model. The record is from RNAcentral.